AAGUCGUAACAAGGUAACCGUAGGUGAACCUGCGGUUGGAUCAUUAAUGAAAUCUACAUGAUGGCGUCCUCGUCAGAUGGCGCUGUCAGAUCACACCAACCUUUUGUGAACCGUCUAGUCUCUGGCGGCCGGGUGGGGUAAGCGGUGCGAGGCGACUCUGCCUCGUGUCCACCCACCUGUCAGCUUGGGGGCCCCUCGGGGUUCCCUCGCCGUGGACAACCCGCCAACCGUGUCCAAACUUGUCAUACUUUUGUCGUCUUAUUUUAAUCUGUGCUUUAAAUGCAGAAACAACUUUUGGCAACGGAUCUCUUGGCUCUC
This 318-nucleotide unclassified non-coding RNA is filed under the name fungal sp. Its description in RNAcentral is "partial internal transcribed spacer region". The stretch from base 1 to 46 matches the Rfam family "Eukaryotic small subunit ribosomal RNA", at positions 1786 to 1831 of the family's 1831-position model. RNAcentral also lists the same sequence under 1 other name. Lineage: Eukaryota; Fungi. The record is from RNAcentral.